UACAGAGGUGGCAAGCGUUGUUCGGAAUUACUGGGCGUAAAGGGCGCGUAGGCGGCCUUCUAAGUCAGACGUGAAAUCCCCAGGCUUAACUUGGGAACUGCGUCUGAUACUGGGAGGCUUGAGUGCGGGAGAGGGAUGUGGAAUUCCAGGUGUAGCGGUGAAAUGCGUAGAUAUCUGGAGGAACACCGGUGGCGAAGGCGGCAUCCUGGACCGACACUGACGCUGAGGCGCGAAAGCUAGGGGAGCAAACAGG
Molecule: ribosomal RNA, 253 nt
Filed under: uncultured bacterium
Lineage: Bacteria
Description: partial 16S ribosomal RNA
Rfam family: Bacterial small subunit ribosomal RNA
Source: RNAcentral